Molecule: long non-coding RNA, 1175 nt
Filed under: Anas platyrhynchos platyrhynchos (common mallard)
Lineage: Eukaryota; Metazoa; Chordata; Aves; Anseriformes; Anatidae
Description: lncRNA (ENSAPLG00000017501.1)
Source: RNAcentral
AUGCAUCAUGUUCUUUUGGAUUGCCCAUUCCCUUGUGCAGGGAGGGAACUAGAACAAUACACAGGAAUUUAUACCAUAUACCAAAAACUUGGAAGCUGGAGCAGAUCCAAGUCAGCAGAUGGACUGAAGUCCCUCCAAGCCUGUGCGCUGCAAGGGCCUGGACUGAAUAUCUGUAUUCAGCAUCUUCAGGAAACUCCUCAUUUGCUUGUGAGAUCAUUAAAGAACAAAAUCUUUUUGUCAUUCUGUACAGUUAACAGCCUUUCAAUUUGUUUGUUUGCUUGUUGUUUUUUUUUUUUGUUUUGUUUUGUUUUUUUAAUGAAUGUAAAUUGUGUUUGCCUUAUGUUUUGGAAAAUACCAAUCCAUAUUUAGCCACCAGCACAGAGAAUUAGCAGCCUUACUUCAAUUUGAGUGGAGUUGAAUUAGACAAUCAUUGAUCCAGAUGGUUGACUUACAAUGGAAAUUAAUAGGAACAUUUCCCUGAAUCAAAUUAUUUCUUGAUAAGACUGCUCAGUCAAUAAGUGAAUCUCACAAUAUCAUUCGGCAAUGACAUAAUCACAGCAUUCACUUUUCCUUAAUCCCCUACAUGUCAGCUCCUUGCAGAACACAAUUGAAACCUCUUACAUAGUGAUAAGUAUAAUUUAUUUAGGAAUUUAAAUCCUGCUUUUUUGAAGUGAAGAUCUUGUUUGACAAAUCAACUUGCAAAAGUGACUACAAAGGUUAUAAUAACUCAGUGAGUUCCAGAUUGUGUUCAUUUUAUCACAAACUGACUUCUUCUUGCACAAGAGCAAUGCAUUACAAGUCACACAAUGGUGUCUUAUGCCACGCUGCUGUUGGAGAUUGCCAGGUAGACAUAGGAGUUUUCUCAUACAUGAAGGUUUCUUGUUAUGGAUGAAAAGCAUAAAUAUAAACUUUGCUUCUUACUCUUACUGAAGAAUGUCUCUACAGGACCUAGGUCUAAAUUUUCCCAGCCAUUCCCUCUGCUGUUUGUUAGCCAAAUGGGUGACCUCUGAUUCUUAUACCGUGUUGGGCUCAUUAAAUCACGGAUAGACUCACUGUUACAGUAGAUCUUUUCACCAAAUCCAAGUAAUCCUGGAGUAGAUUAAUGACAGCAGAAUCUGUACCUGAAAAGACAUUCAGUAAAUAAAAGGGUAGUCUAAUAUUUUUUAAAAAUCUUG